Molecule: transfer RNA, 72 nt
Filed under: Diaphorina citri (Asian citrus psyllid)
Lineage: Eukaryota; Metazoa; Arthropoda; Insecta; Hemiptera; Psyllidae
Rfam family: tRNA
About the family: Transfer RNA (tRNA) molecules are approximately 80 nucleotides in length. Their secondary structure includes four short double-helical elements and three loops (D, anti-codon, and T loops). Further hydrogen bonds mediate the characteristic L-shaped molecular structure. tRNAs have two regions of fundamental functional importance: the anti-codon, which is responsible for specific mRNA codon recognition, and the 3' end, to which the tRNAs corresponding amino acid is attached (by aminoacyl-tRNA synthetases). tRNAs cope with the degeneracy of the genetic code in two manners: having more than one tRNA (with a specific anti-codon) for a particular amino acid; and 'wobble' base-pairing, i.e. permitting non-standard base-pairing at the 3rd anti-codon position.
Source: Rfam by way of RNAcentral
GCUCCCAUGGCGUAAUGGUCACUGCGCUCGCCUUGCACGCGAGAAACCCGGGUUCGAUUUCCGGCGGGGUCA